UGGUCAAGUUAUUAAGGGUGCAGGGCGGAUGCCUUGGCACUAGGAGCCGAUGAAGGACGUGAUAAGCUGCGAUAAGCUUCGGGGAGUUGCACGUAAACUUUGAUCCGAAGAUUUCCGAAUGAGGAAACUCACUUAGAGUAAUGUCUAAGUAUCAUUAAGUGAAUACAUAGCUUAAUGAGGGGAA
Molecule: ribosomal RNA, 184 nt
Filed under: Clostridioides difficile
Lineage: Bacteria; Bacillati; Bacillota; Clostridia; Peptostreptococcales; Peptostreptococcaceae
Description: partial 23S ribosomal RNA
Rfam family: Bacterial large subunit ribosomal RNA
Source: RNAcentral